Molecule: transfer RNA, 76 nt
Filed under: Caudoviricetes sp.
Lineage: Duplodnaviria; Heunggongvirae; Uroviricota; Caudoviricetes
Description: tRNA-OTHER
Rfam family: tRNA (bases 7-64)
About the family: Transfer RNA (tRNA) molecules are approximately 80 nucleotides in length.
Source: RNAcentral
AGACGUAUAGCUCAAUUGGUAGAGCCUUGAAUUUUAUCAAGAGGUUAUAGGUUCGAGUCCUAUUCUGGUAAAGCUA